GUGAAGUGAAGGAAAAAAUAUAUUCUAUGCACAUAGUAACCAAAAGAAAGCAGGAGUGUUUCUACUAAUAAUAGUUAAAAUAGAAUUUAAAUGCAAAGAAUUCACAAGAAACAAAGGACAUUAGGCAGAAUAAUUAGAAAUGUUUAUGCACUCAAUAACAGAACAUUAAAAUAUUGUGAAGCAAAAUCAUAAAAUAAGUAAAUCAACUAUAAUGGAAAAAAUAAAAAUCAUAAAUAUUAAAAAAAAAACUGAGGCAGAAAUCAAUAGUGCAAGUAAAAGGACAGUAGACAGUAACUUAAAACUGUAAGGAGGAGCUCCCAUCAUGGGCUUAGAGGUAAUGAACCCCACUGGUGGUCAUGAGGACACGGGUUCAAUCCCUGACCUCACUCAAUGGGUUAAAGGAUCCAGCGUUGCCAUUAGGUCGCAGACGCGGCUUGGAUCCGGUUGUUGUAGUUGUGUGGUGUGGGCCGCAGCGGCAGCUCCGAUUUGACCCCUAGCCUGGGAACUUUCAUAUGCCACAGGAGUGGCCCUAAAAAAAAAAGAAAAAAAGCAGAACACCUGAAUAGACACUCUUCCAAAGAUAUACAGUUGGCUGUCAGGCACAUAAGAUGCUCAAUAUUGCCAAUCCUCAGAGAUACACAAAUCAAAACCACAAUGAGGUAUCAUCACCUCACAUCUGUCAGAAUGGCUAGCAUCAAAAUGAACACAAAUAACAAAUAUUGGCAAGGAUGUGGAGAAAAGGGAAUUCUUGUAAACUGUUAGUAGGAAUGUAAAUUGGUGCAGCCACUGUGGAAAACAGCAUGUAGGUUCCUCAAUAAACUAAAAAUAGAAACUACCAUAAGAUUCAGCAAUUCAACUCCUGGGUAUAUAUCUAAAGAAAAGGAAAACACUAACUUGAAAAGAUACAUGCACCCCAAAGUUCACAAUAACAUCAUUUACAAUAGCCAAGAUAUAGAAGCAACAUAAGUGUCCGUCAAUAGAUGAAUAGAUGAAGAGAUUUGGUUUAUGUACACAAUGGAAUACUAUUCAGCCAUAAAGAGUAACGGAAUUAUGCCAUUUGCAACAACAUGGAUGGACCUGGAUAGUAUUAUGCUUAGUGAAAGGACAGUAUUAUGCUUAGUGAAAUAAGUUAGACAGAGGAAGAUAAUACUGUAUGUUGAACUUACGUGUGGAAUCUAAAA
Molecule: long non-coding RNA, 1181 nt
Filed under: Sus scrofa (pig)
Lineage: Eukaryota; Metazoa; Chordata; Mammalia; Artiodactyla; Suidae
Description: lncRNA (ENSSSCG00015031035.1)
Source: RNAcentral